Molecule: long non-coding RNA, 226 nt
Filed under: Selaginella moellendorffii
Lineage: Eukaryota; Viridiplantae; Streptophyta; Lycopodiopsida; Selaginellales; Selaginellaceae
Description: long non-coding RNA (SMOE_LNC001469)
Source: RNAcentral
CGAUGCCCACUAUGGCAGUUUGUUUGAUCACCAAGGAUCAUUUCUUCCCACCAAACGGAUGAUGGAUGUCGCCCUGUUGAAGUCCUCCUGCUCUGGCUCCCAGAUGCCAUCACUCAGCUCAACCUCUAAAAUCCUGCACCUGCUUCUACUCCAAUCCACAAUCACUCAGUCCAACCUCUAAAAUCCCACACCCUGCUGCUGCUCCAAUCCACAAUUGCUCAGCCUC